This 1081-nucleotide ribosomal RNA is filed under the name uncultured Rhizaria. RNAcentral describes it as "SSU rRNA". It matches the Rfam family "Eukaryotic small subunit ribosomal RNA", at positions 577 to 1674 of the family's 1831-position model. The record is from RNAcentral.
CGGUAAUUCCAGCUCCAAUAGCGUAUACUAAAGUUGUUGCAGUUAAAAAGCUCGUAGUUGGAUUUCUGCGGGGACGGAGCGGCCGGUCGCAACUUGCGACUCGAGCUAGCGCUUUCCCCGCAUCCUGCCGCGAACCGUGCUACCAUUAGCUUGGUGGCGCUGGGGAUCGGCUCGAUUACUUUGAGAAAAAUAGAGUGUUCAAAGCAGGCCACACGCCUUGAAUAAGUUAGCAUGGAAUAAUGACUAAGGACUUCGGUUCUAUUUUGUUGGUGUUCGGGACUGAAGUAAUGAUUGAUAGGGACAGUUGGGGCGGUCUGUAUUCCAAAGCGAGAGGUGAAAUUCUUAGACCUUCGGAAGACAAACAGCUGCGAAAGCGUUCCGCAAGGAUGUUCCCUUUGAUCAAGAACGAAAGUUGGGGGAUCGAAGACGAUCAGAUACCGUCGUAGUCUCAACUAUAAACUAUACCAGCUAGGGAUCGGUCAACGUUUAAUCAUUCGACUUGAUCGGCACCUUAUGAGAAAUCAAAGCAUCUGGGUUCCGGGGGGAGUAUGGUCGCAAGGCUGAAACUUAAAGGAAUUGACGGAAGGGCACCACCAGCCGUGGAGCCUGUGGCUUAAUUUGACUCAACACGGGAAAACUUACCAGGUCCAGACAUAGUAAGGAUUGACAGAUUGAUAGCUCUUUCUUGAUUCUGUGGGUGGUGGUGCAUGGCCGUUCUUAGUUGGUGGAGUGAUUUGUCUGGUUAAUUCCGUUAACGAACGAGACCCCAGCCUGCUAAAUAGCGCGGCUGAGCUUUGCUCGGUGCGAGCUUCUUAGAGGGACUAUGAUGCGCGAUAGCACAUGGAAGUUUGGAGCAAUAACAGGUCUGUGAUGCCCUUAGAUGUUCUGGGCCGCACACGGGCUACACUGGCGCCUGCAACGAGCAUAUCAGCUGGCCCGAGAGGGUCUUGGCUAAUCUUUUGAACCGGCGCCGUGCUUGGGAUUGACCAUUGCAAUUGUUGGUCAUGCAACGAGGAAUGCCUUGUAAACGCGAGUCAUCAGCUCGCAUUGAAUACGUCCCUGCCCUUUGUACACACCGCCC